AACGGGUGAGUAAUACGUGAGUAACCUGCCCUUGACUCUGGGAUAAGCCCGGGAAACUGGGUCUAAUACUGGAUGCUACAUGUCACCGCAUGGUGGUGUGUGGAAAGGGUUUACUGGUCUUGGAUGGGCUCACGGCCUAUCAGCUUGUUGGUGAGGUAAUGGCUCACCAAGGCGACGACGGGUAGCCGGCCUGAGAGGGUGACCGGCCACACUGGGACUGAGACACGGCCCAGACUCCUACGGGAGGCAGCAGUGGGGAAUAUUGCACAAUGGGCGAAAGCCUGAUGCAGCGACGCCGCGUGAGGGAUGACGGCCUUCGGGUUGUAAACCUCUUUCAGCAGGGAAGAAGCCACAAGUGACGGUACCUGCAGAAGAAGCGCCGGCUAACUACGUGCCAGCAGCCGCGGUAAUACGUAGGGCGCAAGCGUUGUCCGGAAUUAUUGGGCGUAAAGAGCUCGUAGGCGGUUUGUCGCGUCUGCUGUGAAAGCCCGGGGCUUAACCCCGGGUGUGCAGUGGGUACGGGCAGACUAGAGUGCAGUAGGGGAGACUGGAAUUCCUGGUGUAGCGGUGGAAUGCGCAGAUAUCAGGAGGAACACCGAUGGCGAAGGCAGGUCUCUGGGCUGUUACUGACGCUGAGGAGCGAAAGCAUGGGGAGCGAACAGGAUUAGAUACCCUGGUAGUCCAUGCCGUAAACGUUGGGCACUAGGUGUGGGGGACAUUCCACGUUUUCCGCGCCGUAGCUAACGCAUUAAGUGCCCCGCCUGGGGAGUACGGCCGCAAGGCUAAAACUCAAAGGAAUUGACGGGGGCCCGCACAAGCGGCGGAGCAUGCGGAUUAAUUCGAUGCAACGCGAAGAACCUUACCAAGGCUUGACAUAUACCGGAUCGUUC
This 890-nucleotide ribosomal RNA is filed under the name Kocuria sp. DFM81a. RNAcentral's name for it is "bacterial SSU rRNA". It matches the Rfam family "Bacterial small subunit ribosomal RNA", at positions 101 to 1001 of the family's 1533-position model. Lineage: Bacteria; Bacillati; Actinomycetota; Actinomycetes; Micrococcales; Micrococcaceae. The record is from RNAcentral.